Molecule: ribosomal RNA, 1391 nt
Filed under: Clostridioides difficile
Lineage: Bacteria; Bacillati; Bacillota; Clostridia; Peptostreptococcales; Peptostreptococcaceae
Description: bacterial LSU rRNA
Rfam family: Bacterial large subunit ribosomal RNA
Source: RNAcentral
GAAUCCCACAGGCCGUAAACCCAAGGUUUCCAGGGGAAGGUUCGUCCGCCCUGGGUUAGUCGGGACCUAAGCUGAGGCCGAAAGGCGUAGGUGAUGGACAACAGGUUGAUAUUCCUGUACUACCGAUAACCGUUUGAGAGAAGGGAUGACACAGUAGGAUAAGCUAAGCACACUGUUGGUUAUGUGUGCCCAAGCAUUGAGGCAGUCAAAGUAGGCAAAUCCGCUUUGAUAAUGCUGGGAUGUGAUGGGGAGCGAAAUUUAGUAGCGAAGUAGCUGAUUUCACACUGUCAAGAAAAGUCUCUAUCGAGGUUAAAGGUACCCGUACCGCAAACCGACACAGGUGGGUGAGGAGAGUAUCCUAAGGCCAGCGAGAGAACUGUUGUUAAGGAACUCGGCAAAAUGACCCCGUAACUUAGGGAUAAGGGGUGCCACCAUCAGGUGGCCGCAGAGAAUAGGCCCAAGCGACUGUUUACCAAAAACAUAGGUUUCUGCUAAGUCGCAAGACGAUGUAUAGGAGCUGACGCCUGCCCGGUGCUGGAAGGUUAAGGGGAUCUGUUAGAGCAAUCGAAGCAGUGAACUUAAGCCCCAGUAAACGGCGGCCGUAACUAUAACGGUCCUAAGGUAGCGAAAUUCCUUGUCGGGUAAGUUCCGACCCGCACGAAAGGCGUAACGAUUUGGGCACUGUCUCAACAACAGACUCGGUGAAAUUGUAAUUCCGGUGAAGAUGCCGGAUACCUGCGACAGGACGGAAAGACCCCAUGGAGCUUUACUGUAGCUUGACAUUGGGUCUUGGUACUACAUGUACAGGAUAGGUGGGAGGCUUUGAAACCAGGACGCCAGUUUUGGCGGAGCCAUCCUUGGGAUACCACCCUUGUAGUACUGGGACUCUAACCAUAGGCCAUGAAUCUGGUCUUGGGACACUGUCAGGUGGGCAGUUUGACUGGGGCGGUCGCCUCCCAAAAGGUAACGGAGGCGCUCAAAGGUUCUCUCAGUACGGUCGGAAAUCGUACGUAGAGUGUAAAGGCAAAAGAGAGCUUGAUUGCAAGACAUACAGGUCGAGCAAGGAUGAAAAUCGGACUUAGUGAUCCGGUGGUUCUGCGUGGAAGGGCCAUCGCUCAACGGAUAAAAGCUACCCUGGGGAUAACAGGCUUAUCUCCCCCAAGAGUCCACAUCGACGGGGAGGUUUGGCACCUCGAUGUCGGCUCAUCACAUCCUGGGGCUGUAGUAGGUCCCAAGGGUUGGGCUGUUCGCCCAUUAAAGUGGUACGCGAGCUGGGUUCAGAACGUCGUGAGACAGUUCGGUCCCUAUCCGUCGCAGGCGUAGGAAAUUUGAGAAGACCUGUCCUUAGUACGAGAGGACCGGGAUGGACGUACCUCUGGUGUACCAGUUGU